GUUGUCUUCCUAACCGGUGUCGGAAGUCUUUUUAGAGGCCGGGGGUGUUCGGUAGGAACUCUCCGUUUCAGUCGGGACGAAGCCCUUUAGGUCUUUUGGUGCGGUUCAUCCUUCAUCUGUUCCCGUUGUAGUUCGUCAUCCUUCCUUUUUAAUUUUCCUCCUCUUCUCAGAGUGAGGGCCCUCCUCCCGCUUUUCACGGGGUUGCAUAGAAGCGAGGAGGUGCCGCUGAGGGGCUUUUUCCUUUCGUCCGAUCUUGUUGGGCGG
This 264-nucleotide long non-coding RNA is filed under the name Elaeis guineensis (African oil palm). RNAcentral describes it as "long non-coding RNA (EGUI_LNC061839)". The record is from RNAcentral. Lineage: Eukaryota; Viridiplantae; Streptophyta; Magnoliopsida; Arecales; Arecaceae.